GACUGGCACUGAAGAUUCUAAUGGAUGCUCUGAACAAUUAGAGGGCCUCUUCAGCUGCUUUUUCAGUUUGAAGUUAUGAUUGGAGGAGACCUCGAAAUUCAGCUGUGUGCAGUAUUUACAGGCAUUUGACAAUCAUAGCAACUGUUUGCCAGUCUUCCCACAUCAUAAAAAAUUCAAAAACACAAACAACCAAAAGGGAAAAAAAAAAGAAAAGAAAAGAAGAUGGGGGGGGGAAUCCUCUAAUGUUCUUGGACCUCACUAGAAACAUAAAAAAGAAAUGACAGCCUUAUGUUCAACAUGGACCUUUUGUGAAUUGUUUAUCUCUCAGAAAGUCCAGGAGUGUCGGAAAAUUCAAUCAGUGGUUAGUCAUCGAAUGGACGUGUCUGCCUGUGGUUCAUUUUGUUUAUUGCACCAUAUAUCUUUUAUGAUCACCGGGAUUUUAGCCUGAAACAGCAUUUUCUUUAACAAGAGCCAUGUUUCCUUUAACGUUGUUUAUUGCGUCUGAAACCUUAUUCUUUGAAAUCAUGGUACGUUUUCUGUUGAGCAAAGGUCGGCAACUGAAUCCUGCAUGAAUGUGUUUAUUCAGGAUCUAGAGUAAAAAAAAAAAAGAAAGAAAACUCGACCAGUUCAUGUAACAUUAAUCACUUUGCCAGUGUUCAGCUGAGGUCAUUGCCACAUUCCUAGCAGUAUUAAGGCAAGUCAAGAUUAAUCACGUACAUUAAACCUUGGAAGGGAAGCGCGUGAAAGGGAUCUCAAAUUAGACAUUUCUUAAAAGAUGGAGAAGGGACUGCAACAAAAUGGACUUAUUCUGCGGCAGCUCGUCUUGCAACUUGCUUGGUUUUACUGCAUGUGGUCAAUAUAACCGCUCUGAAUCUACAGGCUUCCUUUUUCCUGUUUCUGGCAGUUUAUAGGUCAAAUUUAAGGUCUGUCUGAGCAUUCGAAAUGAAGACUCGUUCACUAAACAUUUUCUCAGAACACGCAAACCACCAGGCACCAGCUAGGAACUGUUCAUGCAAAGAUGAACCAGAUACCGCCCUCCCUCUCCCGCCUCCUCCGAGAAGCGCAUGAUGCACCCGGGAAGACCCGUACCAGAUGUGUACAAUCUGAAUAGAGUUUUGUGGGAGUACAGAGGAGGGAAUGAGUAAUUGUGAUGAGAAGGCAGAAAAGUUCACUUUACUGAAGUUAACGUUACAGGGGGAGAAAGGUAUCAACUGGUCAUGUUCUUCCCAACGUGUAUUCUGGUUUAGGGUAAAAUGGAUCCCAGUGGAGUCUGAGAGAAUGGAUCAGUUCAACCCCUCUAAGAGCUUGACCUCUAAGCAUAGAGGUGGAGCCGACUGCUUUCCCAUCCAUCAGUUCUCUUUCAACCUGAUGUGGAGAUGAUGACAAAAAGAAUGGACUUUAACAAGAAGUAUUUAACAUUCAAAGCCAGCCUCCUGACUUGACACUAUCCUCCUAGAUUUGGAGGCUUUUUGUUUUCAUAUCUUCAGUGACACCUAGGAAAGUGCUUAACAUGUAUGUAAUGCUUAAUAAAGAUUUGCUUAAAAUUUUUUUGUUUUUAGUGUGGUAAAAUAUACAUAACAUAAAUUUACCAUUUUAAUCAUUUUAAGUGUACUAUUUAGGGGUAUUAAGUACACUCACAAUGUUGUACAACCAUUACCACUAGCCAUUUCCAGAGCUUUUUCAUCAUCGCAAACAGAAACUUUGUACACGUUACACAAUAGCUCCCCCUUCUCCCUCCAGCCCUGGUAAUCUCUAGUCUACUUUCCGUCUCUAUGAGUUUGCCUCUUGUAGGUACUUUAUACAAGUG
Molecule: long non-coding RNA, 1807 nt
Filed under: Equus caballus (horse)
Lineage: Eukaryota; Metazoa; Chordata; Mammalia; Perissodactyla; Equidae
Description: lncRNA (ENSECAG00000033135.3)
Source: RNAcentral